Molecule: ribosomal RNA, 117 nt
Organism: Sinocyclocheilus anshuiensis
Lineage: Eukaryota; Metazoa; Chordata; Actinopteri; Cypriniformes; Cyprinidae
Source: Ensembl
UAUGGCAGCCAUAUCACCCUGUAGCCCAAGACUGGUCGCCCACUGAAGCGAAGCAGGGUUGAGCCUGGUCAGUACCUGGACGGGAGACCUUCUGGCAAAACUAGGCUGCUGCUGGAA